GGUUAUAUAGCUCAGUGGUAGAGCACUUGCCUAGCAUGUUUGAGUUCUUGGGAUCAAUCCCCAGUGCUGCCU
Molecule: transfer RNA, 72 nt
Filed under: Ictidomys tridecemlineatus (thirteen-lined ground squirrel)
Lineage: Eukaryota; Metazoa; Chordata; Mammalia; Rodentia; Sciuridae
Description: Spermophilus tridecemlineatus (thirteen-lined ground squirrel) tRNA
Rfam family: tRNA
About the family: Transfer RNA (tRNA) molecules are approximately 80 nucleotides in length.
Source: Rfam by way of RNAcentral